RNAcentral lists this unclassified non-coding RNA (275 nucleotides) under Hevea brasiliensis (rubber tree). Lineage: Eukaryota; Viridiplantae; Streptophyta; Magnoliopsida; Malpighiales; Euphorbiaceae. The record is from RNAcentral.
AUAAUGUGCUUUACCUGGGAAAGGAGAAUGGUAUUCCUAUUUUGACAAUGACAUGCCAACUGUCAGAUGUUGAUAACUUCAAAUCAGGUAAAGUAGGUAUGUGCAAACCAUCUAAAGAAUAUGCCAACACUCUGAUUAGAGGUUUGGUAGAAGGGAAGCAGUUAUCAGAAGAGGAAGCCACCACUUACAUACAAGAAGCAGCUAGCAGAGCAUUGUAACUGCCCUAUCCUGCUUGUUUGUUUGUACAGUUGACAAUUAUGUGAGUAUAAUGCCUA